This 473-nucleotide ribosomal RNA is filed under the name uncultured bacterium. Its description in RNAcentral is "bacterial SSU rRNA". It matches the Rfam family "Bacterial small subunit ribosomal RNA", at positions 355 to 825 of the family's 1533-position model. The record is from RNAcentral.
UGGGGAAUCUUGGACAAUGGGCGCAAGCCUGAUCCAGCCAUGCCGCGUGUGUGAAGAAGGCCUGCGGGUUGUAAAGCACUUUUCGGUGGGAACGAAAUAUGCCGGGCUAAUACCCCGGUAGGCUGACGUUACUCAAAGAAUAAGCACCGGCUAACUCUGUGCCAGCAGCCGCGGUAAUACAGAGGGUGCAAGCGUUAAUCGGAAUGACUGGGCGUAAAGGGCGCGUAGGUGGACAUAUAAGUAAAUUGUGAAAGACCCGGGCUUAACCUGGGAAGGUCAAUUUAAACGGUAUGUCUGGAGUGGAGUAGAGGGAAGUAGAAUUUCCGGUGUAGCGGUGAAAUGCGUAGAUAUCGGAAGGAAUACCGGUGGCGAAGGCGUCUUCCUGGACUCUAACUGACACUGAGGCGCGAAAGCAUGGGGAUCAAACAGGAUUAGAUACCCUUGUAGUCCCUGAGCGGGCUGGCAAGGCGCAU